AGAGUUUGAUCCUGGCUCAGCCUGAACGCUGGCGGCGUGGCUAAGACAUGCAAGUCGUACGGUGUAGCAAUACACAGUGGCGAACGGGUGAGUAAUGUAUCGCUAACGUGCCCCGGACUCUGGGAUAGCUUCCCGAAAGGGAAGGUAAUACCAGAUGAGACCACGAACAGGCAUCUGUUUGUGCUCAAAGGUCCGCCGGUCUGGGAGCGGGCGAUAUCGUAUCAGCUAGUUGGUAGGGUAACGGCCUACCAAGGCGACGACGCGUAGCCGGACUGAGAGGUUGGCCGGCCACAUUGGGACUGAGACACUGCCCAGACUCCUACGGGGGGCUGCAGUAACGAAUCUUCCGCAAUGCACGAAAGUGUGACGGAGCGACGCCGCGUGUGGGACGAAGUUCUUCGGAAUGUAAACCACUGUCAGGGGAAAGAAAGUUCUGAUCUACCCCAGAGGAAGAGGCGGCUAACCCUGUGCCAGCCGCGGCGGUAAUUC
RNAcentral lists this ribosomal RNA (489 nucleotides) under uncultured bacterium. RNAcentral's name for it is "bacterial SSU rRNA". It matches the Rfam family "Bacterial small subunit ribosomal RNA", at positions 8 to 526 of the family's 1533-position model. The record is from RNAcentral.